This 75-nucleotide transfer RNA is filed under the name Candidatus Harrisonbacteria bacterium CG10_big_fil_rev_8_21_14_0_10_38_8. RNAcentral describes it as "tRNA-Glu". It matches the Rfam family "tRNA". Rfam says of the family: Transfer RNA (tRNA) molecules are approximately 80 nucleotides in length. Their secondary structure includes four short double-helical elements and three loops (D, anti-codon, and T loops). Further hydrogen bonds mediate the characteristic L-shaped molecular structure. tRNAs have two regions of fundamental functional importance: the anti-codon, which is responsible for specific mRNA codon recognition, and the 3' end, to which the tRNAs corresponding amino acid is attached (by aminoacyl-tRNA synthetases). tRNAs cope with the degeneracy of the genetic code in two manners: having more than one tRNA (with a specific anti-codon) for a particular amino acid; and 'wobble' base-pairing, i.e. permitting non-standard base-pairing at the 3rd anti-codon position. Lineage: Bacteria; Candidatus Harrisoniibacteriota. The record is from RNAcentral.
GCUCCUAUCGUCUAGCCUGGUCUAGGACAUUGCCCUCUCACGGCAAAAACUCGGGUUCAAAUCCCGAUGGGAGCA